GACGAACGCUGGCGGCGUGCUUAACACAUGCAAGUCGAACGGAAAGGCCCUGCUUUUGUGGGGUGCUCGAGUGGCGAACGGGUGAGUAACACGUGAGUAACCUGCCCUUGACUUUGGGAUAACUUCAGGAAACUGGGGCUAAUACCGGAUAGGAGCUCCUGCUGCAUGGUGGGGGUUGGAAAGUUUCGGCGGUUGGGGAUGGACUCGCGGCUUAUCAGCUUGUUGGUGGGGUAGUGGCUUACCAAGGCUUUGACGGGUAGCCGGCCUGAGAGGGUGACCGGCCACAUUGGGACUGAGAUACGGCCCAGACUCCUACGGGAGGCAGCAGUGGGGAAUAUUGCACGAUGGGCGGAGGCCUGAUGCAGCAACGCCGCGUGCGGGAUGACGGCCUUCGGGUUGUAAACCGCUUUCGCCUGUGACGAAGCGUGAGUGACGGUAAUGGGUAAAGAAGCACCGGCUAACUACGUG
Molecule: ribosomal RNA, 468 nt
Filed under: uncultured bacterium
Lineage: Bacteria
Description: partial 16S ribosomal RNA
Rfam family: Bacterial small subunit ribosomal RNA
Source: RNAcentral